CAUACUGAAUGACACAAUUUAAACAAAUGAAGAUGUUUAAACAUAUCACCAGCAAAUGUGUUUAUUUAUUAUCCCGAAUAAACACUCCAGACAAUGUAUUUCGUUCGGUUAUUGUGUUGAUAUUAUGUUUGACUAUUGGUAAUACAAAAAAAAAUAGUGUUGAAAAACAUAUUAUGGCGUGAACAUAGAAUGAUAUUCUUCACUUGUUAUACUCAGACAAAAAUGUGGUUGCUAUGGACACAUAAAUAAGUAACAAUUAUCAUAAGCAUCUGUAGCCUGCGAUAAAUCAAAAUUAAUUCACUACCAUAUUCAUAAACUGUCCGAAACUGUGGAUCCAGCGCACUCAAUAACUACUUUCCGGUAAUCUAGAUUGAUAAAGCUCAGUGCAUGGAUACAGGGCUAUAAAGGCCGCCUCCCACGUCCCUCUUUGUGUAACGGACGUUCCUGGUGCAGACUUCGAGAAGGUCUGUUUGAUCCCUUUCAACGUUGACAUGGACAACUUCGCGUUUUGCCUGACCAUCACCCUAACGCAACACAAUAUAACGUUCUUAUAUGACAACACAUGUUACAAGAUACCACCUAACCCUACACACAU
This is a long non-coding RNA of Dreissena polymorpha, 595 nucleotides long. RefSeq lists it as uncharacterized. The transcript is spliced from 3 exons. The record is from RefSeq and is a predicted model, not a curated record. NCBI's taxonomy places the organism in Eukaryota, Metazoa, Mollusca, Bivalvia, Myida, Dreissenidae.